This 66-nucleotide transfer RNA is filed under the name Marmota monax (woodchuck). RNAcentral describes it as "tRNA.Ile". Lineage: Eukaryota; Metazoa; Chordata; Mammalia; Rodentia; Sciuridae. The record is from RNAcentral.
GGAUUGUGGCUCAGUGGUAGUGUACUUGCCUUAUGUGUGAGGCACUGGGUUCAAUUCUCAGCACCA